Molecule: long non-coding RNA, 284 nt
Organism: Brienomyrus brachyistius
Lineage: Eukaryota; Metazoa; Chordata; Actinopteri; Osteoglossiformes; Mormyridae
Exons: 3
Source: RefSeq, a predicted model, not a curated record
UGACGGGGUGGGAAGUGCUCCUGAGUUAAUAAAUUAUAAACAUACCUUUUGUUAAGACUGUGAAGUUGGUGGGGUGGAAAUUAAAGAGAUGACUGACCAAGGAAAUGGAAAUAGUUUGUUGAAAAGGUACAUAUGUAAGAGGUAUAUUUAACAGGGAUAUGAGAGGUAUAUACGUGUAUAAGAGAUAUAUUUAACAGGGAUAUAAGAGAUAUAUACAGGUAUAAGAGAUAUAUUUAACAGGGAUAUAAGAGGUAUAUACAGGUAUAAGGUACAUUAUACAGGGA